This 860-nucleotide long non-coding RNA is filed under the name Homo sapiens (human). RNAcentral describes it as "non-protein coding lnc-KHDC3L-2:14". The record is from RNAcentral. Lineage: Eukaryota; Metazoa; Chordata; Mammalia; Primates; Hominidae.
GAUGUCCUCAAAUUUCUUGCAGCAGGAAGUCACUUAGGUGACACUAACUUUGAUUUCCAAAUGGAAUGAUAGUACAUCUAAAAAUGAAGGUGAUGGCAUCUAUAUCAUAAUCUUUUUUUUUUCUAACAAGAUCCAAAGUCCACAAAUAUAUCAUAAAUCUGAAGAGGAACUGGGAGAAGCUUCUGCUGGCAGCUCAUGCCAUUGUUGCCAUUGAAAACCCUGCUGAUGUGUCAUAUCCUGCAGGAAUACUAGCUAGUGGGCUGUGCUGAAGUUUGCUGCUGCUGCUGGAGCCACAUGUAUUGCUGGUCACUUCACUUCUGGAACCUUUGCUAACCAGAUCCAAUCAUCUUCUGCCACCCACAUCUUCUGGUGGUUACUGAUUCUAGGGCUAACUAUCAGCCUCUCUCAGGGGCUUCUUAUGGUAACCUACCUACCUACCACUGCUGUAUGUAACAGAUUCUCCUCUGAGCUAUGUGGAUAUUGUCAUCCCAUGCAACAACAAGGAAGCUCAAUCACUGAGUCUAAUGUAGUGGAUGCUGGCCCAGGAAGCUCUGUGCAUGUGUUGCACCAUCUCCCAUGAUCAUGCCUGAUCUCUACUUCUAUAGAGAUCCUGAAGAGAUUGAAAAGGAAGAGUAGGCUGCAGCUGAAAAAGGAGGAAUUUCAAAGUGAAUGGACUGCUGUAGUGCAAGUUUACUGCUACUCAAUCUGAGGUUGCAGACUGGUUUAAAGACAUGCAGGUGCCCUCUGUGCCUAUUCAGCAGUUCCCUACUGAAGAUUGGAGCACUUAGCCUACCAUGAAUGACUGGUCUGCAACUUCCACUGCUCAGACCACUGAAUGGGUAAGAAUAACCACUGAGUGG